RNAcentral lists this ribosomal RNA (253 nucleotides) under uncultured bacterium. Its description in RNAcentral is "partial 16S ribosomal RNA". It matches the Rfam family "Bacterial small subunit ribosomal RNA", at positions 524 to 776 of the family's 1533-position model. The record is from RNAcentral.
UACGUAGGGGGCAAGCGUUGUCCGGAAUCAUUGGGCGUAAAGAGCGCGUAGGCGGUCCGGUAAGUCGGUUGUGAAAACUGGGGGCUCAACCCUCAGAGGCCGACCGAUACUGCCGAGCUAGAGUCCGGAAGAGGCGAGUGGAAUUCCUGGUGUAGCGGUGAAAUGCGCAGAUAUCAGGAGGAACACCAAUGGCGAAGGCAGCUCGCUGGGACGGUACUGACGCUGAGGCGCGAAAGCGUGGGGAGCAAACAGG